This 433-nucleotide ribosomal RNA is filed under the name uncultured bacterium. RNAcentral describes it as "partial 16S ribosomal RNA". It matches the Rfam family "Bacterial small subunit ribosomal RNA", at positions 29 to 507 of the family's 1533-position model. The record is from RNAcentral.
AACGAACGCUGGCGGCAUGCCUAACACAUGCAAGUCGAACGAGACCUUCGGGUCUAGUGGCGCACGGGUGCGUAACGCGUGGGAACCUGCCCUUAGGUUCGGAAUAACGCCCCGAAAGGGGUGCUAAUACCGGAUAAUGUCUUCGGACCAAAGAGUUAUCGCCUUUGGAUGGGCCCGCGUUGGAUUAGCUAGUUGGUAGGGUAAAAGCCUACCAAGGCGACGAUCCAUAGCUGGUCUGAGAGGAUGAUCAGCCACACUGGGACUGAGACACGGCCCAGACUCCUACGGGAGGCAGCAGUGGGGAAUAUUGGACAAUGGGCGAAAGCAUGAUCCAGCAAUGCCGCGUGAGUGAUGAAGGCCUUAGGGUUGUAAAGCUCUUUUACCCGGCAUGAUAAUGACAGUACCGGGAGAAUAAGCUCCGGCUAACUCCAUG